Molecule: ribosomal RNA, 358 nt
Filed under: Halichoeres chloropterus (pastel-green wrasse)
Lineage: Eukaryota; Metazoa; Chordata; Actinopteri; Labriformes; Labridae
Description: partial 12S ribosomal RNA
Rfam family: Bacterial small subunit ribosomal RNA
Source: RNAcentral
GCCCUAUUCCGUCUAUAUACCGCCGUCGUCAGCUUACCCUUUGAAGAUCUUGUAGUGAGCACAAUCGGCACAGCCCAAAACGCAAGGUCGAGGUGUAGCGAAUGGAAAGGGAUAGAAAUGGGCUACAUUCAAUAAAACAUAAUGAAUACGGAUGAUGUCCUGAAAACGAUAUCUGAAGGAGGAUUUAGCAGUAAGUAGAGAAUAGAGAGCUUUACUGAAACUCGGCUCUGAAGCGCGUACACACCGCCCGUCACUCUCUCCAAGCUUACAAAGAACAUUACUAAUAAAUAAGACUCGCAAAGGGGAGGCAAGUCGUAACAUGGUAAGCGUACCGGAAGGUGCGCUUGGCCUAACUUUU